This 710-nucleotide ribosomal RNA is filed under the name Dissingia leucomelaena. Its description in RNAcentral is "partial large subunit ribosomal RNA". It matches the Rfam family "Eukaryotic large subunit ribosomal RNA", at positions 71 to 793 of the family's 3401-position model. The record is from RNAcentral. Lineage: Eukaryota; Fungi; Ascomycota; Pezizomycetes; Pezizales; Helvellaceae.
GGGAUUGCCCCAGUAACGGCGAGUGAAGCGGCAAGAGCUCAAAUUUUAAAUCUGGGGUCCCCCGACCCCCGAGUUGUAAUUUGGAGAGGCACCUUCGGGAGGAGCGCUGGCCCAUGUUCCUUGGAACAGGACGUCGCAGAGGGUGAGAAUCCCGUGCCAGGCCAGCCGCGCCCUUCCUUGUGAAGCGCCUUCGACGAGUCGAGUUGUUUGGGAAUGCAGCUCCAAGUGGGUGGUAAAUUUCAUCUAAAGCUAAAUACCGGCGAGAGACCGAUAGCGCACAAGUAGAGUGAUCGAAAGAUGAAAAGCACUUUGAAAAUAGAGUCAAAAAGUACGUGAAAUUGUUGAAAGGGAAGCGCUUGAGACCAGACUCGGAGCGAGGCAAACAUCUGGCCCCGCGGGGCCGUGCACUUGCCUCGAUCCGGGCCAGCAUCAGUUGGCGUGGCGGGAGAAAGGCGCGGGGAAUGUGGCUCCCCCCGGGGAGUGUUAUUAGCCCCGCGCUCAAUGCCGCCCUCGCCGACUGAGGACCGCGCUUCGGCUAGGAUGCUGGCUUAAUGGCCUUCAGCGACCCGUCUUGAAACACGGACCAAGGAGUCUAACAUCUAUGCGAGUGUUUGGGUGCCAAACCCUUUCGCGCAAUGAAAGUGAACGGAGGUGGGAACCCCUCGCCGGGCGCACCAUCGACCGAUCCUGAUGUCUUCGGAUGGAUUCGA